CCCGUGCAGCUGGUGGCGGUAAUGCACCAUUAACAUUGGAUGCCAACCGUCGUUAAACCCCAUCGAAGACGAAGAAGAAGAAGAAGAAGAAGAAGAAGUGGUGGCGGCGGCAAUACACCAGUAUGUGUAGUCUGCCAUAAAACUUUGAAGAAGAAGAAGCGCACGAGCACUUCUCAGGGUGUUUAAUUAUUUUCUUUUAAUGUUUUAUCAAGACAAGCAAGUUGAAAAUGACCUUUGCCUUUCCUCUAUGAAGGAAUGUUUUUAUAGAUGAAGAUCUAGACUAAAACGUUGAAUAGCUAACUGAAUGGAAACUUAAUAGUUGAAUGAAUGAGACUGGCGUCUUGAAAAGAUAGAACAUGUACCUGUUGCACUUCUCUAUUGCCAUCAUUCUUGGGUUUGUGUGGUAUUUAUUUGACCGCGGACAAGUAGCGGCUCAAAUUGUUUUAUGUUUACUAUUUUGGCAAUCAACCCCAAAUGUUUUAAUAAAGACCAGACGGGAAAGCGGCACUCAGACAGACGAUGUGGUUGAAGAAGAUUUAUUCCAGGAAACCACUGACCAUUUAGGUUGUGAUGUGACUGAUACAACAAGCACUAAAGCUGAAACAUCACAGGAGAGACAGUUUCCCCAUGUGAAGAGGUCUCUUCAGCAAGCACUGGACCUGCUGGUGCGGUGGCUCUCAGACCCUGACAACCUCAACCAGCUGGUGGUGAGUCAGCUGGAUGGAGCGACCCGUAAGAGCUCUGUGGAGGAGCUGUGUGAGUCCCACUCUGACAGGGCCUCUCCCGUCUCCCUGGAGAGCCAGGCCAGUGGAGCGAUGCAGGAAGAAACAGAGGAUGCUCAAACCAGUGACAGCAAGUCCAAAAAGAAAGCCAACAAAUUGAAGGAAGGCUGGUCUAAAUUCCUUGACAAGAUGAGAUUGAAGAAGGCUAAAAGGGAGAAGAUGAAGAAAAGGGAGCAGGCGCUGGUUGUCACGGCCAUGUCUAUCCAGGGUCGUCCAUCAAACGAAAAUGAAGGGAGUAGCCGGAACCAGCAGGACUCUGACAGCGAGGACAGUGAUCUGGAGAGCUACUGGAACAGUGUACAAGAGGAUAUGAUGGAAUUCAAGCUGUCGUAUGAGCUGUGGCGGGUUGGCCACUGGGCUGUCAGCGUCCCUUGUGUGGAGAGGGAAAACGAGGAACUGUGUUUUACAGUUCACCUGGAGGAGAGGGACAACCCUGAAAAUCUUCACUGGAACGUGAGGAAGACCCAAACAGACAUCAUCCACUUCCGCAACCUAUGGCAGGACUCUGCUACUUUACCCUCCCUAUACAUGUUAGAGGAGAGCACUGAGGUGAACAUCAAUGAGGAUUUCAAAGAAGCCAGGAAGUCCAUCAAGCUCUUCUUACAGGAGCUGGUGUCUGAUGUUCUAGUGGGCCACACUCAGCCAGUAUUUCAGUUUCUGUGUCCUCUGGAAAAGCUGCUGGUUGAAGAGGAUCAUGUGUGGGGCCUCUUCAGUGGCCUGGCCUACUUCCUGACUCCGGGCCAAGAGGAAGAUGAGGACAAGCACAACAGCCUUGGAAGAGGGACCAAACCAGAUGAUUCCAACACAACGGAGGCUGCAGAACCAACUGCAACUGAGAACCUGGAUGGCGAUACAAGGGAUGACCUGGCCCGGGGCCCAUGUAUCAUCAUCUCCCAAUGUGAUGAGUAUUCUCCUUCAGAACCCAGUUCCAUUGAGUGCUGCAGAGAUGACGAGCCCGAACCAAUAGAGAAAUCUGACAUUUUGGUUAAAGCAGACAAAACCGAGGAAUCUGAGAAACCCAUAACUUCCCAACUAAAGAUGGCAAUCAAAGGACUAUCUAGAUCAGAGGAGUGUCUGGCCCAAACAAAAUCAGACACACCUGAAGACCAGACUGACUCUUUCUGUAGACUGCGACGUUCCAGUGAAAAUGGAGGCUCGCAAUUUUACCUCGCUGACAGUCCAUCACAUCCUUUCGGUGGAAAGUCGAAUAAAAAGGAGAAACUCACUUUCAAAAUGUCAGGAGGUAUCCCCAGGAGUAAAGGAAAUGAAAUGGGGAGUCAGCCAAAAUUAGAAGACUCACGGUGUUUGAAAAAGGAACAAUCCAGCUGGGAGCAAAUGGAAGCAACCAAAGCCCUUUUUGAUUUGUUGAAAGCAAUAUCUGGCAAUUCCAUCCUUCUGAACAUAUUUGAUGCGAUUCUGAAACCCGUCAUGCCGAUAUUGAAAAAGAAAGUGAACCGCUUCUUGAAUAAUAUGAACCCAACGGAAGCACAGAUUGCCUCCUAUAUCGACAACCUGCGUGAGAAUCAGUGGCCCGAGGGCUUGCCGGAGAUGACUUGCCCCAUACCCCAUCGCAGCAGUGAGGAGAAGCAUGAGACCAAAGACAGAGCUCACCACCUCAUCAAUGCCAGAUGUACGUGA
Long non-coding RNA from Salmo trutta (river trout), 2420 nucleotides. Ensembl lists it as uncharacterized. The record is from Ensembl. Lineage: Eukaryota; Metazoa; Chordata; Actinopteri; Salmoniformes; Salmonidae.